UUGAACGCUGGCGGCAUGCCUUACACCUGCAAGUCGAACGGUAACAGGUCUUCGGAUGCUGACGAGUGGCGAACGGGUGAGUAAUACAUCGGAACGUGCCCGAUCGUGGGGGAUAACGAAGCGAAAGCUUUGCUAAUACCGCAUACGAUCUACGGAUGAAAGCAGGGGACCGCAAGGCCUUGCGCGAACGGAGCGGCCGAUGGCAGAUUAGGUAGUUGGUGGGAUAAAAGCUUACCAAGCCGACGAUCUGUAGCUGGUCUGAGAGGACGACCAGCCACACUGGGACUGAGACACGGCCCAGACUCCUACGGGAGGCAGCAGUGGGGAAUUUUGGACAAUGGGCGAAAGCCUGAUCCAGCCAUGCCGCGUGCAGGAUGAAGGCCUUCGGGUUGUAAACUGCUUUUGUACGGAACGAAAAGACUCUGGUUAAUACCUGGGGUCCAUGACGGUACCGUAAGAAUAAGCACCGGCUAACUACGUG
This 481-nucleotide ribosomal RNA is filed under the name uncultured bacterium. Its description in RNAcentral is "partial 16S ribosomal RNA". It matches the Rfam family "Bacterial small subunit ribosomal RNA", at positions 30 to 507 of the family's 1533-position model. The record is from RNAcentral.